Etheostoma spectabile (orangethroat darter) is the source of this 90-nucleotide long non-coding RNA. RefSeq lists it as uncharacterized. Lineage: Eukaryota; Metazoa; Chordata; Actinopteri; Perciformes; Percidae. The transcript has 3 exons. The record is from RefSeq and is a predicted model, not a curated record.
CAGAAGAGCGGCAACACAAGUAUGACAACAACCAGCCCCCAGACAGAUUAUCGCAUGCUGUUGUCAAGAUCACGCACAAGUUCAUGGGUU